UACAGAGGGUGCAAGCGUUGUUCGGAAUUACUGGGCGUAAAGCGCGUGUAGGCGGCAGCGUAAGUCGGAUGUGAAAUCCCUUGGCUUAACCAAGGAAGUGCAUCCGAUACUGCGUUGCUUGAGUGCCGGAGGGGAUGGCGGAAUUCCCGGUGUAGAGGUGAAAUUCGUAGAUAUCGGGAGGAACACCUGUGGCGAAGGCGGCCAUCUGGACGGUAACUGACGCUGAGACGCGAAAGCGUGGGGAGCAAACAGG
RNAcentral lists this ribosomal RNA (253 nucleotides) under uncultured bacterium. RNAcentral describes it as "partial 16S ribosomal RNA". It matches the Rfam family "Bacterial small subunit ribosomal RNA", at positions 524 to 776 of the family's 1533-position model. The record is from RNAcentral.